GUGAACCAGUACCGUGAGGGAAAGGCGAAAAGAACCCCUGUGAGGGGAGUGAAAUAGAACCUGAAACCGUGUACGUACAAGCAGUAGGAGCAGGCUUUGUCCUGUGACUGCGUACCUUUUGUAUAAUGGGUCAGCGACUUAUAUUCAGUGGCAAGGUUAACCAUCUAGGGGAGCCGUAGGGAAACCGAGUCUUAACUGGGCGUUCAGUCUCUGGAUAUAGACCCGAAACCAGGUGAUCUAGCCAUGGGCAGGUUGAAGGUUGAGUAACAUCAACUGGAGGACCGAACCGACUAAUGUUGAAAAAUUAGCGGAUGACUUGUGGCUAGGGGUGAAAGGCCAAUCAAACCUGGAGAUAGCUGGUUCUCCCCGAAAGCUAUUUAGGUAGCGCCUCGGACGAAUACUAC
RNAcentral lists this ribosomal RNA (404 nucleotides) under Vibrio parahaemolyticus. RNAcentral describes it as "partial 23S ribosomal RNA". It matches the Rfam family "Bacterial large subunit ribosomal RNA", at positions 490 to 896 of the family's 2925-position model. Lineage: Bacteria; Pseudomonadati; Pseudomonadota; Gammaproteobacteria; Vibrionales; Vibrionaceae. The record is from RNAcentral.